UCCUCGGUGGUAUAGUGGUUGGUAUUCCCACCUGUCAUGCGGUAGAUCGGUGUUCGAUCCUCGCCGGGGAG
Non-coding RNA from Dryococelus australis, 71 nucleotides. The record is from the annotation of a GenBank genome assembly. Lineage: Eukaryota; Metazoa; Arthropoda; Insecta; Phasmatodea; Phasmatidae.